RNAcentral lists this long non-coding RNA (9018 nucleotides) under Ricinus communis (castor bean). Its description in RNAcentral is "long non-coding RNA (RCOM_LNC002288)". Lineage: Eukaryota; Viridiplantae; Streptophyta; Magnoliopsida; Malpighiales; Euphorbiaceae. The record is from RNAcentral.
UCUGGGACGUGGUGGCGAUGGCUGGUGGAAGAGCAGACGACGGCGAGUACAGCAGCAAUGACGGCGUCAGUGAACGACGACGACAUGCGGUAGAAAAUGGCCAGAAAUGGCAGCAGCUGUUCGACGCCGUUCAUGGCAUUUCCGGCGACCAAUGGCGGCAGUUUUGGUCUUAAAAUGACCGGCGACUUAAUAGCUUUCUAAUGGGGGCAGCAGUAUCAGCAAUGGUGGCCGGAGAAGAGAGUUCUGACGAAGGAAAGGCAGCUGGAUUAUUGGACUUUUUCGGCCAUCUCCUACGAGAUAUAGCUGAUCGGAGUUCAUGGAUGAACUCCUCUAGUCACAAGCUUUCCGAUAACACUAAUUUUGCAGCGAUCGGACUCCGUUUGAAAAUCGACGGUCGAAACUGUCCGUAUGAUCAGGAAUUGGAUUGGAGAAUCAAGUGCUAGAAUCAUCGUCUUCUCGUUGUUUCGUGUCUGUAGACACACUCAGACCGUCGAUCGGACUCCGGCGGCUAAAGACGAGUCGACCGAUUUAUCAAGCGUCUCGGUAAUUCUUUAGCUUGUUGAUUUUAGAAAUUGUUAAUUAAAAAUUUAUAUUGAUUAAUUAUUGAAGAAAAAUAAUUUAAGGUAUAUGUGUAAGUGUCUUUGAAAAUUUAAAAUUUUGUGCUAUCUAAAUUGUGUAAUGUGAUAUUUUUAUAUAAGACCUUUUAUAUAGUUGCAUUGUAUUGCGGAGUUGGAAAGAAAAAUGAAGCUUUAGUGGCCCGUCUCUUGGCAAAUAAUUGAUGAAUAUCAGAAGUGUUUUUGGCAGGUUCUGGAUAUGUUAUUCGGGAGUAAAUGUCCGUAUUUUAAGAGAGAUUCUACCGAAUUUUCGGUAGAAUUUUCGAGUCGAAAUUUUUAAAUAGUCAAUUCUAGGAGUCUAGGGCUAGUGUUAUUUAUUAAAUAUUUUAUUUUAUUAAUUGAAUUGUUCCCGUGAAAUAGAUAAUUCACCAUUUCAGUCCGCUCUACAUGAGGCUUAGGAGCAAAGCAAUGGGGUCAUCAGAACUAUGAGUGAAAGUCAUAUAUUUGUUAUACAGGCGUUAUAUGCCACAAUUUUAUAUAGCAAUUAUGAUUAACUGAUUGAAAGAUUUAAAUUAUUUAUUUAUUUACUAUUCAUCUAAAUAACUAUUUAUAAGAGUUAAUUAUCUAUUUACUAUUCAUAUAUCAUUUUCCACAUCAUUGAUAUAUUAAUUGCUUAUUGACUCAAGAUGAGACGGCAGUAGAAUAUGCUACAUGAUGGGUUGCAUCAGGACCCGUGCGCACCGGUAUAAAUCUAAGACAAGUAAUAAAAGAAUAUUUUAAGACUUUCCCUAGUCGAGUUGAACUCUUUAAGCUGUGAAGAGUUUGAUUGUCGGAUUAAAGGUAUCUGGUCGAGCGUUGCUCUUUAGGCGCCGGCUUUAUUGGAAAUUAAGUGACCAGACGGGAUUAAGGAUCCUGGUCGAGUUCUGCUCUCUGGGUGCCAGUCCUGUUGGAGUGAGAGAGCUGAAAGGCUAUUAGUGUUGGAGUUAGGGUUCUGCUAAAGUACUUGUUCCGUAACAUGUAACUUAUAUUUUAGUGAAUCAUGGCAUGACACGCGUUUUAAUAUGAUCUAAUAUUUUAUUUUGAUUAAAUAAAUAUUUUAUUGAGGUGAAAUUUUGAAUUAUAUGAUUUAAUUUACUCUCGAGACUGACAGUCUCAAAUUUAAUUAUUUUUCACGUGUUUGUUAUCUUCCCGCAGUUCUUUGCCUCUAGCAGUUCAUUNNNUUUGACUUUUAGAAUUCUAGAUUCUCUGCAAUAGUAAUUUCAAAACUUAUUAUUUUGUUUUGGUAUGUUAAACUAGGUAUUGCCUAUUUGUGCUGGCAGACUGAAUUAAGUAUGUAAUAAUAUAUGAGUGGUUGAAAGUUAGUUAGGAAAUAGUUAUAAUUGGUAGAACUUGAAUUAUUAUUCUUUAGUUGAGUUAGCGAAUGAUCAGACUUGCUACGGAUCUCGGUGGCCUUAUAUCUACCCACUCUCUAGCACCGGUCACGGUCCCACAGAUCGGAUCGUGACAUGAAAUUAUAUAAUUUUAUUAAAAUUAUGAUCCUAUAAUAUGAAAAAAAUUGUUAUGGUGUUAUAAGGCGAUUGUUGAGGAGGUAAUAUUAAUAUUGAUGCAAUUAAUUUUGAAUUAAAUAUAUCUGGCUAGAGAUGGUAGUAGGUAGAGUAUGGGUAGGGUAGUAUUACCUUAUUUAUACUCAAAAAAUUUUAUGUCUACCCAUAUUCAUCUAAGGAAUAAAUAUUAUAUUUAUUUUUUAUAUUUAUAGAGUUUUAGAGGUAUUCGUCGGGGAAAUCCACUAUCACCAUUUAUCUUUUCUAUUAUGUGCUGAAGAACUCUCCCAUAUGUGCAUACAAGCCAAAGAUCUCGGUAUUCUUCGAGGUAUUCAAAUAACUAGAAGAAGUCCUUAUAUUAAUCACUUCUUAUUUAGGACGACUCUAUUUUUUUUGUGAAGCAUCUCGUACUGAGACAUUUGCUUUAAAGCACAUUAUAUAUGUCUAUAUUCAAGCUAGUGGUUAGGUGAUCAAUCUAGUGAAGUCAGCAAUUUAUUUCAGUUUGAAUACCCCAAAAACUAAUCAGGUUCAUAUUGCUGGAAUAUUUCAAAUUUUUAAUGUGGGCAAUUUAGAUCGCUAUAUGUUGAAGAACCAAACCUUGAAGCUUUGUCUUAACUAAAAAUCAGGGACCAAGGAACAAGGGACUUCAGGGACUAAAGAGCAAGGCCUCAGGUCUAUACAGCUAAAAGCUGUACAGACAUGUCAUCACAGGUCUGCAAAACAGGAAAAAGGAGCAAUGUUUCCUCCCUAAGGAAGAAAGGUCGCUUCAAUCAUUCCAAAUUCAAAAGUGAACAUUGACAUAGAUCAUGGGGGGUCAUUAGGUAGCUUAAAGACCAUUGCAACUCAGUCAUGUAUAUAACAGAACAUUCACAUACUGUAAAUCUUAGAAUUCAUACUUGUAAACUCAUCACAAAUCAAUAAAAUUACAAUCACAAUUUCUACAUGGUAUCAGAGCAGGAUUAACCUGUCAUCACUUACCAUUUCCACCAACCCCGAAUUUUUUCAUCAUGUCUCAUAGUGAUAUCACAAGAUUAACCAACAUUGUGUAAAAGGCAAUCAAAACUAUUUCGAAUGGUCAAGGUCUGUUUAUAUCUGUUUGAGCGACAGAAAGAAAUUAGGGUUCAUCACAGGAAGCAGAAUUAAGCCAAAGCCGAUCAAUCCAGACCAACCAACCAAAGAAGAAAUAGAAGAAAUAGAAGAAUGGCAGACGACAGACCAUAUGGUCAUGUCACUACUCAUAAAUAUCAUGGAGCCUCAAAUUUCCAGACUAUGCAUGUUACUCGAGUCAUCACAGGCUAUUUGGAAAAAGAUGAAGAGCCUAUAUGGUCAUGAGCAAAAUUAUGCUCACAUCUUUAAUUUAAAACAAGAACUGUCACAAAUCAAGCAAGGGACUCGAACAAGUACAAGUUAUGCAACUAAGGUAUUGACCAGAUAGGAGGAGCUACAGAACUAUCUCUCACCGCCAACAGACCCAGAAGAAGCAAGAAGAAGAGCGUAACAGGACUUGGUGUAUACAUACCUAGGGGGAUUAGACUCAAGCUAUGAAGCUUUGAGGUCACAAAUUCUUUUGUCGAGCAACCUUUCCAAAAUCGAUAUCGUCAUAGCCAUCAUCCAACAGGAAGAGAAUAGACGCGUGACUAUGAGCGCAAUCACUAACCUCGAUAAUAGUGAAAAUAAAGCCUACUUCACUCACCACUCAAACACUCAAGAGACGGCUCGAGUGAGAGGGGCGCCUACCAGCAUCGAUAGGUGCGACCACUACAAGAAGUAAGGUCCCACCCAAGACCGCUAUUGGCACCUCCAUCCUCACUUACGGCCUAAUCUCAGCAGAAUCGAGUGAGGAAGAAGCAGGGGGAGAAGAGAGAAAGAAGAGAGGCAUUUUGGCGGCUUCAGCACGUCUAACCGUAAGGGUUAUAAAGAGAAGCCAAGGUCGGGUCGUGACUUAAGAAGCGGGUCAGAUUCUUUUAAUUCGAUCCGACCCGACUCCAAAGCAGGGGGAGAAGAGAGAAAGAAGAGAGGCGGUUUAGUGGCUUCAGCACGUCUAACCCUAAGGGUUAUGAAGAGAUGCCAGGGUCGUGACUUAAGAAGCGGGUCAAAUUCUUUUAAUUCGAUCCGACCCGACUCCAAUAGCUGGGUUGACCCGGAUUCGACCCGACAGAAAAUUGUCAACUCUCCCAAUUAACUUCUCAGCUCCAAUCAAUUAUUUAGCACCAGCAACCCCAUGGGUCAGGUUUAGUAUUUAAAAAUUGCUCAGAUUCUUUAAAAAUUUCUCAAGAUUGGAUCAUUGACUCUGGUGCAACUAAUCAGAUGACGUGAGAUUCAACAAAAUUAUAAAAUUUUGUACCUAUAGAUUUCCAACAUGUGAUUGUUGCCAACGGAGGUCGAGCUAAAAUCUCUAGCUUUGGCUCCUCUAAAUUAUUUCACAAUAAUAUACAAGAUAUACUGCUCUUGCCUGAUUUUAAGUAUAAUUUAUUAUCUGUUGGAAAAAUAAGGACCUUGAAUUGUAAUAUCAUAUUCUCACCUAUUACAGUGUUAUUUCAGGAUCGAAUCACAGGGAAGACGAUUAGUGAGGGACAUUUUGAAAAUGGUCUAUACUACCUCACAAACUCCACCAACCAAUGUCUUGUCUCGACCAGUUCAGUAGAUCAAGGAAUGUUGAUACUUCGAUGGUUUGGGCAUCUGUCCGAUAAAAUUUUAAACCAACUUUUUUGUUUAAAUUUAAAUUCUAGUUGUUGUGACAUUUGUAAAUUUUCUAAACAUACUCGCUUGCCUUUUCCUCUAUCUUCUACUGUAUCUGAAAAUAUGUUUGAUUUAAUUUAUUCUGAUGUUUGGGGACUGAUGUGCUAAAUGGGACUUUUAAGAUUGAUUUUAUGGACAUUUGGAUGUGAAUUGGUCCCAACACUCAUCCUAUGCGUCUGUUUGUUUGCAUUAGAUUCAAAAGAAGUCAAAGAAUGAUAAAGGGAAGAAUUGGAGCAUAAUUGGAUGUCAAAGCUGCCGAAACAAGCUAAGUACGAGCAUGAGGAAGCUGAACAUGGCCGUGUUGGUUUCAACACUGGCCGUGUUUCCAACACGGGCACCAACACGACCGUUUUGGGUGUAUUAGACAUCAAAGAAGAAGAGGCGUUAGGGAGCACGACCACAGAGAGUAACUCGGCCAGAAACACCAAACCGUGUUUCCAACACGGCUAGGAACACGGCCAUGUUCGUGGCGACAGGACGAAUUAAUUAAAAGAAAGAGCAAGAGGAAAGAAAGAAGAGCGGGGGAGAACGUCCCAAACCCUAAUAUUUCUCUCUCUAAGGGUUUUCUGAGCUGGAACCAAGGAAAAAGGAGACUUGGAUCAAUGUUUCAAUCGGAUUCCCUUCAUAGAUUGAAAAUUGGGCGAGGUUUGUUUAUUGGUUUUCAAAUCGAACAAGAGGAACAAGAAUCGAGUCAAUUCGAGCAAGAGGAAUUGGGGCUGUUUACUCUCAUCCAAGGGUGUAAUCGGAUUUUCUCUACCUUUACUCUUUGUUGUAAUUGUAUUCUUGUGGAUUCUGAUAAUGAACAUGAUUAGCUAAAUUGAUUAAAUCCAUUGGGAUUACUAUGUUGGCUUAGUAUUAUAUUGUUGGAUUGUUUGGGUUAGUUUUAUAUUCUUCUUGCUUUCAGUAUUAAUAAGAAAAUGCAUUAUUCAUGAGACGUUGUGAAUUGUGUGUUUAGAUUGCUUUGUAUGAUUGAGAAGUCCAUUUGGCAAUUGGAAUUUUGAAUAGCAAGAACUGGUUAAUAAUCGCUUAGAGAUAAGGAUAAUUAACUAGCCGGAUUAAGAAUUAACAAAGCUUAAUAGAGGCGGAUUAAAGCUUAAUGCUAAUUUAAGAAUCAAUCGUUAGGAAGAGAUUCCAAUUUUAGGUUAUUAGAUUUAGGAAUUCGGUUAAGAAUUCAUCCACGGGUAGCAUAAUUAGACUCACUAAUCCUUUAUCUUUUGUUUGAUUGCCAACUAGUUUAGGUUCCCUUUGGGUUUGCUUUCUUGUUUUGGUUAUUUUAGUUAUCAAUUACUCCUGCAUCUCCCUUAGAACUUAGCUCGUAGCUAUUAGUUAGUUUAGAAAUUAUUCAUCCCUCAUUUUAGGUUAAUAUAAUAAAGAACAAAGGAGUAACUCUGGGCUUUCACUUUCCCGAGGAAUAUCACCUUGAUACUCGCCAUUAGUGCUAGACUGCAUCGAUAGGUACACUACCUUAGAUUGUAGCUAACACAAGUAGCACACAUCAAGUUUUUGGUGCCGUUGCCGGGGAAUGUUUGAAAACUAGACUUAUUAUUAUUUAUUUUCUUUUAUUUAUACAUAUUUAUUUAGUUAAUUUUAGGAUUCGGGUAGUGGAUGAUAAGGAGGUUCAAUGCUAAACUCUUUGUAUGACACGUUGGAAAAUGGGAUUAGGAACUAAGAGUGCUAAAAAUUGGGAUACCCGUGCAUCUUUAGAAGCUCGAGUGGAAUCGUUUUGCAGGGCUACCGAUCAACUCUCCACUCCUAUCCUUUCAUCUCAAGUUUUUUUAUGAAUUUUGUUGUGGUUUACAUUUGAGUAAUGAUUAUCCAUUAUAUAGUGAUGUUGCUCAUUGUUCUUAUAACUAUGAAUAGGUGAAUUAUACGGAAAGUUGGCAAAAUGACUUGUAUGAAAGCACCUACAAUUAAGAGUUGAGCAUUCAUUCACCCUUGGAUGGAGCUUAGAUGGCCAAGAACCACCAGAAUUUCAGCAGCCUAAUCUUGCACCAUCAACUCAAGGUGAAGAGUUAGUGUCAGAGGAGCUGAUGAUGAGAUUUAUUGCAAGUCUUGAGGAUAGAUUCCAAUAAACAGAGAGGAUACUUGAAGAUCAACAAGCCUCGAUUAAGAACAUAGAGCAUCAAGUAGGCUUAAUCUUCAAGUUACUAGCUGAAGAGAAAUUAGGAACUCCAUCAAACGCUAUUGAAUCCGAGGAACAUUUGAGUGCCGUCACUUUGCGUUCAGGUGAGAAUUUUUCUGGUUUAUCUAUUAUGUUUGACGAUGAUGCUUCUGUGCAAGACGACUUUUUGAACAUGGAGAUAGAACUAGAAAAGGAAGAGGCAAAUAUGAUCCCUCUGAAAGACUACCAACAGGAACAUAUAGUUGAUGAUGCUGAAUUGCAGUUAGAGGAAUUUUUGAUGGAUUUUCCACAAGUCCCUUCGAUAAUGGAAGAUGAGUACGAGUUAUCCAAUGAAGAAAUCUUGGAGGAGCUCGAGUUUCUUCUAGCAAGUGAACCAAGCCAGGGACUAGAGAAAACCAUCGACGUUCCUGAAGAAAUUGCCCAGCCGUCGAUCCUUCCAAUUGGUGAAACUUCAGCUUUCAAAUUGGAAGAGCCCCUAGAGUAUCAUGACUACGUGCAAUUAUACGAGGAGCGAGUUUUGCCCAUCAUACUGGCAGCUUGCUUGAUAGUCGGGAAGAGGAAAUUGACAAUUAUCCCUCUAAGCGGAUACUUGAAGACAUUUGCUUGGAAGAAGGAUGGAUGGUCAUCAAUCCUUAUCGUUUGCUUUUCACCAUGAGUCGAGCUAAGAAGACUCAUCACAUCAAAAAGAAGCGCUUUUGGGAGGCAACUCAAAUUCUAUUUUUCAAUUUUAAUAAUUUACCCUUUAUUGUGAACUUAGUUUGAUUAGAUUUUACAGUUUAUUUUUGGUAAGUUUUAUUUAUCUUGAGUGUAUGAGUUGAGAACUUGUUGGUUGUGCAGGUGAGAAAGUGCUGAGAAUCGCAACUUUUGCAUUUUUUGGAGAUCAACACGGUUGUGUUUGAGACCGUGUUCCUUAACAUUGACCGUGUUCCUUAAUACGGACCGUGUUCUAAUUGAAGAAAAUCAAAUUAAGAUGAACACGUUCACAGUCGGCCACACAGGAAUUUAUGCCAGACCGUGUCCCCAACACGUCCCCGUGUUCCAUAAACACGGGCAUGUUCUAAGAAGUUGGUAAGUCAUAACGUUUAAAUUCGCUUAACACGGCCCGAUAUCCAGACCGUGUUUUGGAACACGGCCCCUGUUGGUGAACACGGGCGUGUUCCGUGCACUGCCUAUAUAUACCACUUUAUUUCGAAAUGGCUAAAAAUUUUGCUCUCCUUUAGUUUAGCAAUUCUCUCCUAUCUUACUCUCUCACUUCUUAUUUCUCAUCUUGAAGGCUUUGGAUAUUCGGUUUGUCAAGUAAGUACCCUCCAACUUCAUUUUCCAUAUUUUUUUUUAUUUUGAUAUUAGUUCGAAUAUAUGUUUUCUUUGUGUUUUCUUUGUGUUUUAAUUUUUUUUAGUUUAUUUCCUUAUUUUAUUAUUUGGUGCAUGCAUUUACAUUCAUGUUUGUGCUUAAUUUUUUUUAUUUUCUUUAAUUUAGUUUAUAUACCUAACUUGCUCAUAUUUUCCGUUUUUCUUUUCUACCAUUAUUCAUGAUUGUGAUUAAUUCUUUAUUUUCCUCUUUAUUAUUAUUGUUGGUAGCUAAACAGUAGGCUCUGUCAUAUAUAGUGGACUCCGUUGUAUCUGUUUUAUAUUAGCAUGUUGGUUUGACUUGUGAUGGAUUAUGGCGAAGUUAAACUCCAUGUUGAUGAAUUGAAAAUUUAAUUGGUUAGCAUUGGUUGGCAAUGUUGUGGAUUGAAUUUUCUUUGUAGGACAUUGAGCAGUUUAAUUUUAUCAAGUUAAAUUGUUCGGUUUGUCCAUUUUAAGUCGUUGUGCUGCCAGAAUUUCGUUGAUCCUUAGUACUAAAAAUUUCUUUUUCUGGUACCAUGUCCACCAGAUAAGGAUCAAAAGUUUACAAGAGGAGGCGGACCAAUGGUUCCUCUUCCUCUCGAUUUUCAGGCGCUGCACCGACUAGUUUAGGCCAAAUUAGACCACCGCAGUGCUAUUGAUUCCUACUUUUCCAAGGGCAGCCCACCUUUGAGCAGAGAUAUCAAUCAAUGAGGCACAAAGAUUUGGGAAAGGGGCG